UCAGAGUAAAAGCCUCGUAUGACCAACCGCAAGCUUACGAUGGACCGGGGAGAGUCGGAUACUUUGAGAGUAGUGUCUUAAGGGGGUGUAUGUCCCAUCCAAGGCUAAAUAACGUGAGGAGACCGAUAGAUUACAAGUAGUGUGAACGAAAGAUGAAAAGAACUCUAAAACAGAGGGUGAAAAGUUCCUGAACUUGCUUAGGGUUAAGGCUAUUUAUAGUACCCGUCUUGAAACACGGAUUAGGGAGUUUAUCUGUAGUGCGAGUCUUUGCACGUUAACUGUAAAGGCGUAGAGAAAGCAACUGGCGUUUGCAUGGCUACUGAGCAUUACUGAUAGGACCCGAAAGGUGGUGAACUUUGCCUGCACAGGUUGAAGUCAGGGGAAACUCUGAUGGAGGACCGUACGGGUUAUUGAUGUGCAAAUCAUUUUUCUGAUGUAGGUAAAGGUGCGAAAGACUCAUCGAACCACCUAAUAGCUGGUUUCCUCCGAAGUUUCCCUCAGGAUAGCUGUAAUGCAUUUAGUUAAGGGGAGUAGAGAUAUGGGUAGAGGUGCAGGGAGCCUUCGGGUUCUCAACUUAUUUCCAAACUUCGAACCUCCUUGUUAGGCAUUUACCUAACUGGAAAUGCUUAAAUGAAUUAGCGUUACAAGUGGGCUCUGACCGGUAAGCGGUCAUGGCGAAAUGGGAUGAACCAUACGUCUGAAUAAGGUGCCGAAAUGUACUAUCACUGAUACCAUAAAGGGAGUCCAUGUAUUUAGACAGCAGGUCGGUGCCCCUAAAAGCAGGUAUCCGCUAAAGAGUGUGUUAAAACUCACCUGCCGAAUACUAGGGCCCCGAAAAUGAAUGGCGCAUAUAGUACUACCGAUCUCAGACAUCAGUUCUAUUGAACUGAGAGUAGGGGGAUGUGGACAUUUUUGUGAAGGUGCAAUGUGAGUUGGACUGGAAGAAUGUCUAUUACAGAUCCUAAUUGAAGUAGCGAUUAUCCAGGCUUGUAUCCUGGGGGCUGAUGAGGAGUAGGGUUUCUGGACAACUUAAACAGAUCCAGAGUUAGUCGAUCCUAAUCUCAAUAAUGGAG
Trichomonas vaginalis G3 is the source of this 1073-nucleotide non-coding RNA. The record is from Rfam. Lineage: Eukaryota; Parabasalia; Trichomonadida; Trichomonadidae.